RNAcentral lists this ribosomal RNA (729 nucleotides) under unidentified microorganism. RNAcentral's name for it is "bacterial SSU rRNA". It matches the Rfam family "Bacterial small subunit ribosomal RNA", at positions 49 to 762 of the family's 1533-position model. The record is from RNAcentral.
CUAUACAUGCAGUCGAGCGGACAGAAGGGAGCUUGCUCCCGGAUGUUAGCGGCGGACGGGUGAGUAACACGUGGGUAACCUGCCUGUAAGACUGGGAUAACUCCGGGAAACCGGAGCUAAUACCGGAUAGUUCCUUGAACCGCAUGGUUCAAGGAUGAAAGACGGUUUCGGCUGUCACUUACAGAUGGACCCGCGGCGCAUUAGCUAGUUGGUGGGGUAAUGGCUCACCAAGGCGACGAUGCGUAGCCGACCUGAGAGGGUGAUCGGCCACACUGGGACUGAGACACGGCCCAGACUCCUACGGGAGGCAGCAGUAGGGAAUCUUCCGCAAUGGACGAAAGUCUGACGGAGCAACGCCGCGUGAGUGAUGAAGGUUUUCGGAUCGUAAAGCUCUGUUGUUAGGGAAGAACAAGUGCGAGAGUAACUGCUCGCACCUUGACGGUACCUAACCAGAAAGCCACGGCUAACUACGUGCCAGCAGCCGCGGUAAUACGUAGGUGGCAAGCGUUGUCCGGAAUUAUUGGGCGUAAAGGGCUCGCAGGCGGUUUCUUAAGUCUGAUGUGAAAGCCCCCGGCUCAACCGGGGAGGGUCAUUGGAAACUGGGAAACUUGAGUGCAGAAGAGGAGAGUGGAAUUCCACGUGUAGCGGUGAAAUGCGUAGAGAUGUGGAGGAACACCAGUGGCGAAGGCGACUCUCUGGUCUGUAACUGACGCUGAGGAGCGAAAGCGU